CGGCAGGCUUAACACAUGCAAGUCGAGCGGGAGAGAGGUAGCUUGCUACUGAUCUUAGCGGCGGACGGGUGAGUAAUGCUUAGGAAUCUGCCUAUUAGUGGGGGNCAACAUUUCGAAAAGGAAUGCUAAUACCGCAUACGUCCUACGGGAGAAAGCAGGGGAUCUUCGGACCUUGCGCUAAUAGAUGAGCCUAAGUCGGAUUAGCUAGUUGGUGGGGUAAAGGCCUACCAAGGCGACGAUCUGUAGCGGGUCUGAGAGGAUGAUCCGCCACACUGGGACUGAGACACGGCCCAGACUCCUNCGGGAGGCAGCAGUGGGGAAUAUUGGACAAUGGGCGCAAGCCUGAUCCAGCCAUGCCGCGUGUGUGAAGAAGGCCUUAUGGUUGUAAAGCACUUUAAGCGAGGAGGAGGCUACUUUAGUUAAUACCUAGAGAUAGUGGACGUUACUCGCAGAAUAAGCACCGGCUAACUCUGUGCCAGCAGCCGCGGUAAUACAGAGGGUGCAAGCGUUAAUCGGAUUUACUGGGCGUAAAGCGCGCGUAGGCGGCUAAUUAAGUCAAAUGUGAAAUCCCCGAGCUUAACUUGGGAAUUGCAUUCGAUACUGGUUAGCUAGAGUGUGGGAGAGGAUGGUAGAAUUCCAGGUGUAGCGGUGAAAUGCGUAGAGAUCUGGAGGAAUACCGAUGGCGAAGGCAGCCAUCUGGCCUAACACUGACGCUGAGGUGCGAAAGCAUGGGGAGCAAACAGGAUUAGAUNCCCUGGUAGUCCAUGCCGUAAANCGNAUGUCUACUAGCCGUUGGGGCCUUUGAGGCUUUAGUGGCGCAGCUAACGCGAUAAGUAGACCGCCUGGGGAGUACGGUCGCAAGACUAAAACUCAAAUGAAUUGACGGGGGCCCGCACAAGCGGUGGAGCAUGUGGUUUAAUUCGAUGCAACGCGAAGAACCUUACCUGGCCUUGACAUAGUAAGAACUUUCCAGAGAUGGAUUGGUGCCUUCGGGAACUUACAUACAGGUGCUGCAUGGCUGUCGUCAGCUCGUGUCGUGAGAUGUUGGGUUAAGUCCCGCAACGAGCGCAACCCUUUUCCUUAUUUGCCAGCGAGUAAUGUCGGGAACUUUAAGGAUACUGCCAGUGACAAACUGGAGGAAGGCGGGGACGACGUCAAGUCAUCAUGGCCCUUACGGCCAGGGCUACACACGUGCUACAAUGGUCGGUACAAAGGGUUGCUACCUAGCGAUAGGAUGCUAAUCUCAAAAAGCCGAUCGUAGUCCGGAUUGGAGUCUGCAACUCGACUCCAUGAAGUCGGAAUCGCUAGUAAUCGCGGAUCAGAAUGCCGCGGUGAAUACGUUCCCGGGCCUUGUACACACCGCCCGUCACACCAUGGGAGUUUGUUGCACCAGAAGUAGCUAGCCUAACUGCAAAGAGGGCGGUUACCACGGUGUGGCCGAUGACUGGGGUGAAGUCGUAAC
Molecule: ribosomal RNA, 1462 nt
Filed under: Acinetobacter sp. BAB-5158
Lineage: Bacteria; Pseudomonadati; Pseudomonadota; Gammaproteobacteria; Moraxellales; Moraxellaceae
Description: bacterial SSU rRNA
Rfam family: Bacterial small subunit ribosomal RNA
Source: RNAcentral